GGUAAGGUGGACAUCACUGAGCCUGCGCAGGAAAGCUGACAUCACUGAGCCUGCGCAGUAAGAGUUGCCAUCUGAAGGCCCCAGGAAAAGCAACUUUUUGAGCGACUGACCUAGUUUCCCAGCUUGGGCAUGUGCAGUGGUGAAAGCGUUUGUGGCAGGAAAGGUCACCUUGAAGUGCAUCUCACAGCUACAGUCACAUUGAAAGACCACUGUUAUCAAGAAGGGAUCAUCUUUAGAGACUGGGAUACCUCAGAGUUUACAAAUAUUGUGCCAAUUUAAGCUCUUUCAGUGCUUCAGAAGAAUGGCAUCAGUUAAACCAGACUGCUGCUUGGCAGAUAGGUUUCAGCAGAGGCAAACAACUCAGCACAGUGGUUCACUUCUUGUAGCAACAGCAGGUCUCCUCUUCUAUCGGGCAUUGCAGUAGACAGGGUGGAGAUGGAAGAAUGGCCCAGCUAAUGCUGAGUUUUCCUGGAGAAUAAAGACCCACCAGAUAUGCACAAGAAAUGUCCUUGACAUCGCCUCACUCCAUAGACAGAAGACCAGUGACCUCAUCUCUCCCAAAUGCAGAGGGGAAGGGAGGAGGCAGCUGAAUACAGUACAUUGGAGCAAAGAAGUUAGGGGGAG
This is a long non-coding RNA of Alligator sinensis (Chinese alligator), 624 nucleotides long. RefSeq lists it as uncharacterized. Lineage: Eukaryota; Metazoa; Chordata; Crocodylia; Alligatoridae. The record is from RefSeq and is a predicted model, not a curated record. The transcript is spliced from 4 exons.